CGGGGCGUAGCGCAGCCUGGCUAGCGCACCUCAAUGGGGUUGAGGGGGUCGGAGGUUCAAAUCCUCUCGCCCCGGCCA
This 78-nucleotide transfer RNA is filed under the name Nitrospina watsonii. RNAcentral's name for it is "tRNA-Pro". It matches the Rfam family "tRNA". Rfam says of the family: Transfer RNA (tRNA) molecules are approximately 80 nucleotides in length. Their secondary structure includes four short double-helical elements and three loops (D, anti-codon, and T loops). Lineage: Bacteria; Pseudomonadati; Nitrospinota; Nitrospinia; Nitrospinales; Nitrospinaceae. The record is from RNAcentral.